This 499-nucleotide ribosomal RNA is filed under the name uncultured bacterium. Its description in RNAcentral is "bacterial SSU rRNA". It matches the Rfam family "Bacterial small subunit ribosomal RNA", at positions 899 to 1397 of the family's 1533-position model. The record is from RNAcentral.
ACUCAAAUGAAUUGACGGGAGCCCGCACAAGCGGUGGAUUAUGUGGUUUAAUUCGAAGCAACGCGCAGAACCUUACCUGGGUUUGACAUCCUUUGACAAACGUAGAGAUACGUCUUUUGUAGCAAUACAACAAAGAGACAGGUGCUGCAUGGCUGUCGUCAGCUCGUGUGGUGGCAUGUCGGGUUAAGUCCCUCAACGAGCGCAACCCCUGUGUUUAGUUGCCAGCAUUAAGUUGGGCACUCUAGACAGACUGCCGUGGUUAACACGGAGGAAGGCGGGGAUGACGUCAAGUCCUCAUGGCCCUUACAUCCAGGGCGACACACGUAAUACAAUGGUCGGUACAGAGGGACGCGAAACAGCAAUGUGGAGCUAAUCUCAAAAAGCCGAUCUCAGUUCGGAUUGGAGUCUGCAACUCGACUCCAUGAAGGCGGAAUCGCUAGUAAUCGCGGAUCAGCACGCCGCGGUGAAUACGUUCCCGGGCUUUGUACACACCGCCCGU